AGGGUUCACAGGACCUUAAGGAAUCUUCCCUCAUCACCUAUGUCUUUCUUUCCCCGAGUGUCUGUUCCCAGGUUCCCUGCAGUCCUAUGCCCACCCACACCAGGGCCCAGAAGCACCCUCCACCCACCCUGGGCACCCCCAGCCAAGGACACUUGCUCACAGAGGACAUGCAGCGCUGUGGGCCGGGAGCUGCGUGUGCCCUGGGCAUCCUGGACCUGGCAGCUCCACCCUGCAUCCAGCCACACUCACAGAGGACGUCCAGGGUGACGGGUCUGGAGAGGUGGAGUGUCUGGCCAAGGGUCAGCACGCCACAGCGGUAGGAGGCAGCAUCCAUGACCGUGACGUUGGGCAGGAGGAUGGAGUGGACAGCACCUGGGCGCUGCUGCCCAUCUUGGUACCAUGUAUAGGGAACACAGGUUGGAGCCCUGGUCCGGGAAGAUCCCACAUGCUGCGGAGCAACUAAGCCCGUGAGCCACAACUACGGAAGCCCGUGCGCGACAACUACUGAAGCCCGUGCGCCUAGAGCCCGUGCUCUGCAACAAGAGAAGCCACCGCAAUGAGAAGCCCGCGCCCUGCAAUGAAACGAAGAGUAGCCCCUGCUCGCUGCAACGAGAGAA
This is a long non-coding RNA of Eubalaena glacialis (North Atlantic right whale), 617 nucleotides long. RefSeq lists it as uncharacterized. The record is from RefSeq and is a predicted model, not a curated record. NCBI's taxonomy places the organism in Eukaryota, Metazoa, Chordata, Mammalia, Artiodactyla, Balaenidae. The transcript is spliced from 3 exons.